UCCGAAGUGCUAACCAGUAGGCCAUCUGCUGCCCCUGAGUCCAGACCUUAACCCCAUUGAGAAUCUUUGGGAUGUGCUGGAGAAGACUGUGCGCAGUGGUCCGAAUCUCCCGUCAUCAAUACAAGAUCUUGGCUAAAAUUAAUGCACCGCUGGAAGGAGUUACAUGUUGUGGAAACGAUGCCACAGCGAAUGCGUGCUGUAAAUCAAAGCUAAAGACGGUCCAACGUAAUAUUAGUGUGUGACCUUUUUAUUGGCCAGACAGUGUAAAUUGUAGGAUUGUAGGGGUGAAUAUG
Alosa sapidissima (American shad) is the source of this 293-nucleotide long non-coding RNA. RefSeq lists it as uncharacterized. The transcript has 3 exons. The record is from RefSeq and is a predicted model, not a curated record. Lineage: Eukaryota; Metazoa; Chordata; Actinopteri; Clupeiformes; Clupeidae.